AAAAUCAUUUGUUUUUUAAUUGGAAACUGGAAUGAAAGAGUGAAUGAAAUAUAAAUUGUCUCAAUAUAAAAAAUUGAAUUUAAAUUAAAAGUUAAAAUGCUUUUAUAAUUUUAUUAGACGAUAAGACCCUAUAGAAUUUAAUAAAAUUUAUUUUUUAAAAUUAAUAUUUUUAAUAAAAUUUAGUUAAUAAGUAUAUUUUAUUGGGAGGAUAAUUAAAUUAAUUAAACUUUAAUAUAAAUAGGACAUAGAUGAAUGAGUAUUUUGAUUAUUAUUAUAAUUAUUAGAAUAAAUUACCUUAGGGAUAACAGCGUUAUAAUUUUGGAGAGUUCAUAUUGAUAAAAUUGUUUGC
RNAcentral lists this ribosomal RNA (349 nucleotides) under Vespa tropica. RNAcentral describes it as "partial large subunit ribosomal RNA". Lineage: Eukaryota; Metazoa; Arthropoda; Insecta; Hymenoptera; Vespidae. The record is from RNAcentral.